Small nuclear RNA from Sorex araneus (European shrew), 105 nucleotides. The record is from Ensembl. NCBI's taxonomy places the organism in Eukaryota, Metazoa, Chordata, Mammalia, Eulipotyphla, Soricidae.
AUGUUUCAGUAAAAGCACAUAUACUGAAAUUGGAAUGGUACGAGGAGAUUAGCAUGGCCCCUGUGCAAGGAUAACACGCAAAUAUGUGAAUCAUUCCAUAUUUUU